Marmota monax (woodchuck) is the source of this 940-nucleotide long non-coding RNA. RefSeq lists it as uncharacterized. The transcript has 3 exons. Lineage: Eukaryota; Metazoa; Chordata; Mammalia; Rodentia; Sciuridae. The record is from RefSeq and is a predicted model, not a curated record.
CAGGCCCCAGCACUUCUGCCCGCCCCUGCCACACACCUCCCCCACUGGCCCUUCCUUCCCUGUGUCCAGGGACACUGAGAAAACCAAGGUGCGCUGCUGCCUUCACAGGUGCUGGCCUCCCCCCGCAGGCCUGUCUGGGCCUGGCCACCAGCCCUGGGACCAUUUCCUCACUGUCAGUGCCCCAGUGAGUCACCUCUAGUCUGGCCCCAGGCCAGCCUGGGCUCCUCGGAUGCCUACCUGAGAGAGAGAAGGUGGAAGUCCCUGCUGCCCACUCAUUGCCUUGUCCAGAGGCCCAGCAGGAUGCACCCAGGCUCCCAGGGCUGCCAGGGAGCCUCAGGCUGCGGGACGCUGCCCUGAAGCCUGGUCUGGCAGGCCCACUUCCUCAGUACCCGCAUCUGCUGCUGACGUGGACGCCCCGCACCUUCCUUGGAGCGCAGGAAGAGCCGCGGACAUGAGGGCCGUACCUUAGGAAUGCUGCAGCCUCAGCGCCGGUCCUGCGGGUCCUGCCGCUCCCUAGAUGGCUUCUCUGUCCAGCCUCCCUGCCCUCUCUCAUCUCAGGCUGAGAAUGGAGCCCCCCGCCCUGGUGCCAGCAGGCGGGACACCUGCUGUGGAGGCUUGGAAGACGUCGGUGGCUUCUGCGAGUGCCCCUCUGCCAGUGCCGCUCCUGAGGGUGUUCCUUUUGACCUCACCCCCCUCUUCCUCCUGUCCUCGGGAGCAGGCUACUGGAUCCAGCCCGAUGGGAGCCCACAGGGACAGCCAGACCAAAGCCACCUCUGGGAGGGACUCAGGUGGUGAUGGUGGUGGUGGACAGCCAGACCUGUUCCCUGGGGAGCAGCAGCAAAGGGUGGACACACAUGUGGUCUGCCCUGCUCCCAGUGUGGACGCCGAGUGGCCCUUGCACAGUUUGCUAAGGUGUCCCAAUAAAGCCCCACCGGCCCCA